AUUUAGCCAUGUUAGUCGAGGGUGCUUCUUCUUCUUCGGAGGAAGCGGUAACCCGGCAGACGGCUCAGUAACACGUGGAUAACUUAUCCUUUGGAAUAACCCUUGGGAAGGGGCUAAUAUCGGAUAGAACAUUGAUCGGGAAUGCAUGAUGCUCGAAAGCUACCGCCAAAGGAUGGGUCUGCGGCCGAUUAGGUAGUUGUUGAUGUAACGGAUCAACAAGCCUUCGAUCGGUAUGGGUUGUGAGAGCAAUAGCCCAGAGAUGGGUUCUGAGAGAAGAACCCAGGUCCUACGGGACGCAUCAGGCGCGAAAACUUUACAAUGUGCGCAAGCACGAUAAGGGAACUCUGAGUGCCUCCUAUGGAGGCUGUUCAGGUGUCUAAAAAGCAUCUGAAGGAAGGGCUGGGUAAGACCGGUGCCAGCCGCCGCGGUAACACCGGCAGCCCAAGUGGUGGCCACUUUUACUGGGUCUAAAGCGUCCGUAGCCGGCUAAGUAAGUUCCUUGGGAAAUUUGAUCGCUUAACGAUUAAGCUUUCAGGGAAUACUGCAUGGCUUGGGACCGGGAGAGGUCAGAGGUACCUCAAGGGUAGGGGUGAAAUCUUAAUCCUUGGACCGCCAGUAGCGAAGGCGUCUGACCAGACCGGAUCCGACGGUGAGGGACGAAGGCUAGGGUAGCGAACCGGAUUAGAUACCCGGGUAGUCCUAGCUGUAAACGAUGCGGGCUAGGUGUUGGCAUUACUGCGAGUGAUGCCAGUGCCGAAUGGAAGCCGUUAAGCCCGCCAUCUGGGGAGUACGGUCGCAAGGCUGAAACUUAAAGGAAUUGGCGGGGGAGCACUACACGGGUAGAGCCUGCGGUUCAAUUG
RNAcentral lists this ribosomal RNA (860 nucleotides) under uncultured archaeon. Its description in RNAcentral is "bacterial SSU rRNA". It matches the Rfam family "Archaeal small subunit ribosomal RNA", at positions 43 to 908 of the family's 1478-position model. The record is from RNAcentral.